GCUUUGAUCCCAUAAACCUUUAGUUAACAACUAAAAACCCAAACCAGCGGGCUUCAAUCUACUUCUCCCGUUAUAAAAAACGGGAGAAGCCCCGGCAC
RNAcentral lists this transfer RNA (98 nucleotides) under Rhacodactylus auriculatus (New Caledonia bumpy gecko). Its description in RNAcentral is "tRNA-Asx". The record is from RNAcentral. Lineage: Eukaryota; Metazoa; Chordata; Lepidosauria; Squamata; Diplodactylidae.